Molecule: ribosomal RNA, 1339 nt
Filed under: metagenome
Description: bacterial SSU rRNA
Rfam family: Bacterial small subunit ribosomal RNA
Source: RNAcentral
ACAACUUAGGGAAACUUAAGCUAAUACCGCAUAAUGCAGCGGCUCGACAUCGAGACAGUUGUUAAAGGAGCAAUCCGCCUUUUGAGCAGCCUGCGGCAGAUUAGCUAGUUGGUAAGGUAAUGGCUUACCAAGGCUACGAUCUGUAACCGACCUGAGAGGGUGGUCGGUCACACUGACACUGAAUAACGGGUCAGACUCCUACGGGAGGCAGCAGUCGGGAAUUUUGGGCAAUGGGCGAAAGCCUGACCCAGCAACGCCGCGUGAAGGAUGAAGUAUUUCGGUAUGUAAACUUCGUAAGAAUAGGAAGAAUAAAUGACGGUACUAUUUGUAAGGUCCGGCUAACUACGUGCCAGCAGCCGCGGUAAUACGUAGGGACCAAGCGUUGUUCGGAUUUACUGGGCGUAAAGGGCGCGUAGGCGGCGUGGUAAGUCAGCUGUGAAAUCUCCGAGCUUAACUCGGAACGGUCAGCUGAUACUGCUGUGCUAGAGUACAGAAGGGGCAAUCGGAAUUCUUGGUGUAGCGGUGAAAUGCGUAGAUAUCAAGAGGAACACCUGAGGUGAAGACGGGUUGCUGGGCUGAUACUGACGCUGAGGCGCGAAAGCUAGGGUAGCAAACGGGAUUAGAUACCCCGGUAGUCCUAGCCCUAAACGAUGAAUGCUUGGUGUCUGGAGUUUUAAAUCUCUGGGUGCCGUCGCUAACGCUUUUAGCAUUCCGCCUGGGGAGUACGCACGCAAGUGUGAAACUCAAAAAUUGACGGGGACCCGCACAAGCGGUGGAGCAUGUGGUUUAAUUCGACACAACGCGAAGAACCUUACCUGGACUAGAAUGUGAGGGAAUAUUACCUAAUAGUAAUAGUCUGAGCAAUCAGACCCAAAACAAGAUGCUGCAUGGCUGUCGUCGGCUCGUGUCGUGAGAUGUUGGGUCAAGUCCCGCAACGAGCGCAACCCCUAUCAACAGUUGCCAUCAUUAAGUUGGGAACUCUGUUGAGACUGCCGUUGAUAAAACGGAGGAAGGUGGGGAUGACGUCAAGUCAUCAUGGCUUUUAUGUUCAGGGCUACACACGUGCUACAAUGGACGGUACAAACCGUUGCAAUCCUGCGAAGGGGAGCUAAUCGGAAAAAGCCGUUCUCAGUUCGGAUUGUAGUCUGCAACUCGACUACAUGAAGUUGGAAUCGCUAGUAAUCGCGGAUCAGAACGCCGCGGUGAAUACGUUCCCGGGUCUUGUACACACCGCCCGUCACAUCACGAAAGUGGAUUGUACUAGAAGUAGCUGGGCUAACCUUCGGGAGGCAAGUUACUACGGUAUGAUUCAUGAUUGGGGUGAAGUCGGAACAAGGUA